GAUGAACGCUAGCGGCAGGCCUAAUACAUGCAAGUCGAGCGGCAAGUCGAGGAGUAAUCUGAGACCUAGAGCGGCGCACGGGUGCGUAACGCGUAUGCAACCUACCCUUUACCGGGGGAUAGCCCGGGGAAACCCGGAUUAAUACCCCAUAGUAUAUAGAGACUGCAUGGUUUUUAUAUUAAAGAUUUAUCGGUAGGGGAUGGGCAUGCGUAGGAUUAGUUAGUUGGCGGGGUAACGGCCCACCAAGACUGUGAUCCUUAGGGGUUCUGAGAGGAAGGUCCCCCACACUGGCACUGAGAUACGGGCCAGACUCCUACGGGAGGCAGCAGUAGGGAAUAUUGGGCAAUGGGCGGGAGCCUGACCCAGCCAUGCCGCGUGCAGGAAGAAGGCGUUAUGCGUUGUAAACUGCUUUUAUACGGGAAGAAAAG
This 428-nucleotide ribosomal RNA is filed under the name uncultured bacterium. RNAcentral's name for it is "bacterial SSU rRNA". It matches the Rfam family "Bacterial small subunit ribosomal RNA", at positions 28 to 452 of the family's 1533-position model. The record is from RNAcentral.